CCUACGGGAGGCAGCAGUGAGGAAUAUUGGUCAAUGGGCGCGAGCCUGAACCAGCCAAGUCGCGUGAGGGAAGACGGUCCUAUGGAUUGUAAACCUCUUUUGUCGGGGGACAAAAGACGCCACGCGUGGCGUUCCGAGAGUACCCGAAGAAAAAGCAUCGGCUAACUCCGUGCCAGCAGCCGCGGUAAUACGGAGGAUGCGAGCGUUAUCCGGAUUUAUUGGGUUUAAAGGGUGCGCAGGCGGAAGGUCAAGUCAGCGGUAAAAUUGAGAGGCUCAACCCCUUCGAGCCGUUGAAACUGGUUGUCUUGAGUGAGCGAGAGGUAUGCGGAAUGCGUGGUGUAGCGGUGAAAUGCAUAGAUAUCACGCAGAACUCCGAUUGCGAAGGCAGCAUACCGGCGCUCAACUGACGCUGAUGCACGAAAGUGUGGGUAUCGAACAGGAUUAGAUACCCGGGUAGUC
RNAcentral lists this ribosomal RNA (459 nucleotides) under uncultured bacterium. Its description in RNAcentral is "partial 16S ribosomal RNA". It matches the Rfam family "Bacterial small subunit ribosomal RNA", at positions 338 to 795 of the family's 1533-position model. The record is from RNAcentral.